AUGAAGUUUAUAAAUUGUUGUAGAAUGAAUUUUCUAAAAGGUUUUAUGACUGGAGGAAAUUUUGGCAAGGUAUCACAAGUCUUUUUCUGUUGGUACCGUGGUGACAGGACAAUUUUUAGCCCUCCCUCUGUUUUCCUUAGUCCGUUAUUUUUUGUUUUCUGUUUUCCUGUAUACUAUGAUAAAAUUGAGAAUGGAAAUGGGGACCAUAAAUAUACUAAAAACGAAGUGUCAAUUCAAAGUUUACUUACUAUCCACGGCAGUCAUUGAUAUAUUAUACACGUCGCAGAGCAAAAACGAAUUCAAAGAAUAGUUAUCAAAGGUCCAGGAUUAUAAUUUAGUACGCCAGACGUCCGUUUCGGCUACAUAAGACUCAUCAGUGACGCUCAUCAAAAUAGUUAUCAAGCCAAAC
RNAcentral lists this long non-coding RNA (409 nucleotides) under Mytilus galloprovincialis (Mediterranean mussel). The record is from RNAcentral. Lineage: Eukaryota; Metazoa; Mollusca; Bivalvia; Mytilida; Mytilidae.